AGCCACUAGAAUGGUGGGUAAUACUCGUAUAAUCCCUGCGGGGUGAAAUUGAUCAAUCGCUAUUAGAAUUCCCUAGCCUAUGUUAGAUUUAAGCUAGUUGGUAGGGUAAAGGCCUACCAAGGCGGUGAUCUAUAGCUGGUCUGAGAGGAUGAAAUCAGCCACACUGGAACUGAGAUACGGUCCAGACUCCUACGGGAGGCAGCAGUGGGGAAUAUUGGACAAUGGGCGCAAGCCUAAGGAUCCAGCUAUGCCGCGUGAGUGAUUUUGGAAGGCCUUAGGGUUGUAAAACUCUUUCAGUUAAGGGAAGAUAAUGACGGUACCCACAGAAGAAGUCCCGGCAAACUCCGUGCCAGCAGCCGCGGUAAUACGGAAGGGGCAAGCGUUGUUCGGAAUUAUUGGGCGUAAAGGGCAUGUAGGCGGUUCGGUAAGUUAAAGGUGAAACCUUGCCAGGGCUUAACCCUGGAGCUGCUUUUAAUACUGCCAGACUCGAGUCCGGGAGAGGAUAGCGGAAUUCCUAGUGUAGAGGUGAAAUUCGUAGAUAUUAGGAGGAACACCAGUGGCGAAGGCGGCUAUCUGGGCCUCCGGUACUGACGCUGAGGGCCUUUGCGAAAGCGUGGGGAGCAAACAGGA
RNAcentral lists this ribosomal RNA (630 nucleotides) under uncultured Anaplasma sp. RNAcentral's name for it is "bacterial SSU rRNA". It matches the Rfam family "Bacterial small subunit ribosomal RNA", at positions 145 to 777 of the family's 1533-position model. The record is from RNAcentral. Lineage: Bacteria; Pseudomonadati; Pseudomonadota; Alphaproteobacteria; Rickettsiales; Anaplasmataceae.